RNAcentral lists this transfer RNA (68 nucleotides) under Taenia sp. MZH:127001. RNAcentral's name for it is "tRNA-Thr". Lineage: Eukaryota; Metazoa; Platyhelminthes; Cestoda; Cyclophyllidea; Taeniidae. The record is from RNAcentral.
GGUUUUUUAGUUUAAAUUAAAAUACGGAUUUUGUAAAUCUGUGAUGAUUAAUAUAAUAUCAUUAACCU